AAUCAACGCUGGCGGCGUGCCUAACACAUGCAAGUCGAGCGAGAAAAGGGGAGCAAUCCCCUGAGUACAGCGGCGCACGGGUGAGUAACACGUGGGUAAUCUGCCCUGGAGUGGGGAAUAACACCGGGAAACCGGUGCUAAUACCGCAUACGAUCACAGAGUCUGCGGAUUUUGUGAUGAAAGGAGCAAUUCGCUCUAGGAGGAGCCCGCGGCUGAUUAGCUAGUUGGUGAGGUACUGGCUCACCAAGGCAAGGAUCAGUAUCCGGUCUGAGAGGGCGGUCGGACACACUGGAACUGAUACACGGUCCAGACGCCUACGGGAGGCAGCAGUGGGGAAUUUUUUGCAAUGGGGGCAACCCUGACCAAGCAACGCCGCGUGGGUGAUGAAGUCUCUUGGGACGUAAGACCCUUUCGACGGUGACGAAACCGCAAGGUUGACGGUACCCGUAGAAGAAGCCCCGGCUAACUCCGUGCCAGCCGCCGCCGUAA
This 489-nucleotide ribosomal RNA is filed under the name uncultured bacterium. Its description in RNAcentral is "partial 16S ribosomal RNA". It matches the Rfam family "Bacterial small subunit ribosomal RNA", at positions 32 to 523 of the family's 1533-position model. The record is from RNAcentral.